Molecule: transfer RNA, 65 nt
Filed under: Norvellina sp. EMHAU-15062816
Lineage: Eukaryota; Metazoa; Arthropoda; Insecta; Hemiptera; Cicadellidae
Description: tRNA-Pro
Source: RNAcentral
CAGCAAAUAAUUUAAUAAAAAUAUUAGUCUUGGGUAUUAAAAAUAUAGAAACCCUAUUUUGUUGA